GAUGAACGCUGGCGGCGUGCCUAAUACAUGCAAGUCGAGCGAACGGACGAGAAGCUUGCUUUUCUGAUGUUAGCGGCGGACGGGUGAGUAACACGUGGAUAACCUACCUAUAAGACUGGGAUAACUUCGGGAAACCGGAGCUAAUACCGGAUAAUAUUUUGAACCGCAUGGUUCAAAAGUGAAAGACGGUCUUGCUGUCACUUAUAGAUGGAUCCGCGCUGCAUUAGCUAGUUGGUAAGGUAACGGCUUACCAAGGCAACGAUGCAUAGCCGACCUGAGAGGGUGAUCGGCCACACUGGAACUGAGACACGGUCCAGACUCCUACGGGAGGCAGCAGUAGGGAAUCUUCCGCAACGGGCGAAAGCCUGACGGAGCAACGCCGCGUGAGUAAUGAAGGUCUUCGGAUCGUAAAACUCUGUUAUUAGGGAAGAACAUAUGUGUAAGUAACUGUGCACAUCUUGACGGUACCUAAUCAGAAAGCCACGGCUAACUACGUG
This 497-nucleotide ribosomal RNA is filed under the name uncultured bacterium. Its description in RNAcentral is "partial 16S ribosomal RNA". It matches the Rfam family "Bacterial small subunit ribosomal RNA", at positions 28 to 507 of the family's 1533-position model. The record is from RNAcentral.